Molecule: ribosomal RNA, 274 nt
Filed under: uncultured bacterium
Lineage: Bacteria
Description: partial 16S ribosomal RNA
Rfam family: Bacterial small subunit ribosomal RNA
Source: RNAcentral
AUACAGAGGGUGCGAGCGUUAAUCGGAAUUACUGGGCGUAAAGCGCGCGUAGGCGGCUUAUUAAGUCAGAUGAGAAAUCCCCGGGCUCAACCUGGGAACUGCAUCUGAUACUGGUAAGCUAGAGUUUUGGAGAGUGAAGUAGAAUUUCAGGUGUAGCGGUGAAAUGCAUAGAGAUCUGAAGGAAUACCAGUGGCGAAGGCGACUUCCUGGCCAAAAACUGACGCUGAGGUGCGAAAGCGUGGGUAGCACACGGGAUUAGAUACCCUUGUAGUCC